AGGCUUAACACAUGCAAGUCGAGGGACCGGCGCACGGGUGAGUAACGCGUAUGCAACCUACCUAUCAGAGGGGAAUAACCCGGCGAAAGUCGGACUAAUACCGCAUAAAUAAAGUCGCUGAUAGAUGGGCAUGCGUUCCAUUAGGUAGUUGGUGAGGUAACGGCUCACCAAGCCGACGAUGGAUAGGGGAACUGAGAGGUUGGUCCCCCACACUGGUACUGAGACACGGACCAGACUCCUACGGGAGGCAGCAGUGAGGAAUAUUGGUCAAUGGGCGGGAGCCUGAACCAGCCAAGUCGCGUGAAGGAAGAAGGAUUAUGGUUCGUAAACUUCUUUUGCAGGGGAAUAUGUAUGUACCCUGAGAAUAAGGAUCGGCUAACUCCGUGCCAGCAGCCGCGGUAAUACGGAGGAUCCGAGCGUUAUCCGGAUUUAUUGGGUUUAAAGGGUGCGUAGGUGGUUUGAUAAGUCAGCGGUGAAAGUUUGCAGCUUAACUGUAAAAAUGCCGUUGAAACUGUCGGACUUGAGUGUAAAUGAGGUAGGCGGAAUGCGUGGUGUAGCGGUGAAAUGCAUAGAUAUCACGCAGAACUCCGAUUGCGAAGGCAGCUUACUAAGCUAACUGACACUGAAGCACGAAAGCGUGGGGAUCAAACAGGAUUAGAUACCCUGGUAGUCCACGCAGUAAACGAUGAUUACUAGCUGUUUGCGAGUAAGCGGCACAGCGAAAGCGUUAAGUAAUCCACCUGGGGAGUACGCCGGCAACGGUGAAACUCAAAGGAAUUGACGGGGGCCCGCACAAGCGGAGGAACAUGUGGUUUAAUUCGAUGAUACGCGAGGAACCUUACCCGGGUUUGAACGUACGAGGUGCUGCAUGGUUGUCGUCAGCUCGUGCCGUGAGGUGUCGGCUUAAGUGCCAUAACGAGCGCAACCCUUAUUUYCAGUUACUAACAGCUGAGGACUCUGGAGAGACUGCCAGCGUAAGCUGGAGGAAGGUGGGGAUGACGUCAAAUCAGCACGGCCCUUACAUCCGGGGCGACACACGUGUUACAAUGGUAAGCAAAGGGCAGCUACCGGGCGACCGGAUGCGAAUCUCUCUUAUCUCAGUUCGGACGGAGUCUGCAACUCGACUCCGGAAGCUGGAUUCGCUAGUAAUCGCGCAUCAGCCAUGGCGCGGUGAAUACGUUCCCGGGCCUUGUACACACCGCCCGUCAAGCCAUGGGAGCCGGGGGUACCUGAAGUUCGUAUCGACCUAGGGUAAAACUGGUGACUGGGGCUAAGUCGUAACAAGGUAGCCGUAC
Molecule: ribosomal RNA, 1295 nt
Filed under: Porphyromonadaceae bacterium NML 060648
Lineage: Bacteria; Pseudomonadati; Bacteroidota; Bacteroidia; Bacteroidales; Porphyromonadaceae
Also listed under: 3 other names
Description: bacterial SSU rRNA
Source: RNAcentral